CUCACCGGAACAGAUAAGUUUGUCGCGCUCUAUGUGUGUAAGUAUUGUCACUUUUGACAUUUACCAUAUUUUUUUUCUGUUGAAAACUUUAGCCGAAAUUGUCUGAACUGUUUGAAAAGAAGUUUCUUUUAAGUAUCCAAAAAUUACUACUGACAAAGCUACUUAUGCUUAUCCAGUUGGUUACACUGCACAUGACUGUUGUACAUUGUGAUUAUACUUCCACACCCAGCCUGGAAGCACCCAGCUGCCUAAAGGGCGCUCCACAUUCUUAAGAGAAUCUCCCGAGAACGCGAGAAACAUGUGAGAAACGUGAAUGUGGAAGCGAUUUCUCAAGUUCUCGCGUUGUUCCCCAGCUUUACUCCACUUUUUGUCGGUAUUUUGGCGCGAGACAAAGGAGCGCGAGAACGUCAGAACAGGCGAGAACGUAGCGCGCGCGCCGCCGACUUGAACGGAAGUAAUUGUGUACUUUGUGGCGUCCAUCGUCAUCGAACGCGAGAACUGUAGUGAGAACUAUUUAAGAACUUUGUGAGAGUGUGUACCCAAAGAAGUUCUCCCUACAGUACUCGCAGAGAAUCUCCGGAGAUUCUCGCGUGAAUGUGGAGCGCCCUUUAGAAAGUUCUUACAGCGGGCUGCUUUCUUUGACUAUCAAUGAUAGGGUAAUAAUUUGGUGCUACCCCUUAAAUUACAGAUGCUUCCCCUUGGUGACGAGAAUGCCGCACCGCCAGCAACAGCCACUGGGACUAGUGCUGGUGCUGUUGCUACAAAUAGUGCUUUGCCCGACAGAAUUGAAAUUAUGUGAACUCCCAGAGGCGCAGAGGCUGAAGCCAAAGGAGACUUGAUGGUUUUGCAGUGCGAGCAGAUACAAUGCGAUAGCGAGAAGGCGGAAGCCAUGAAAAUGGUAGCUGCAGCAGUAAAUACACAAACUGCUGUAAAUGAGGGACACAAUGCCAGAUUAAUGGCAUUCAUAGAAGCAGAAAAAGAAACUCGGUCGCAGUCGUGGGCGCGGUCGUGGGCGCACCAAAAAAUUUCCUUGAGCAUAUAGAGCCUUUCAGCGGCUGAGUAUUCCAAAUCGCCGAGUCGUGUGGGCUACACACUUGCACGCCAUGACUUGCAUGACUUGCAUCCACACUUAAAAUGACGAGAUUAGCGUCACAUAUCUGUAAAAACUAACUGUGAUUAUAAGGCCCUACAUUAUAGGUAAUUUGUUAGUUUUUAAAGACUACUAGAUUACUACUUAAUUAUAAAUAAUUACCAACUGAGAUUUUCUAAUUUCCUAUAAUUAUGUAAUAACUUGAUUGUUAAUGAAUUAUUAUGAGAAUACUCAAAGACUUAUAUGAGAAAUAAUACUUUUAUGAAUAAUAUUUUUAGUUUUAUAAAGUUUUGUUGUUUUCCAAGAUGAUUUAGUCAGCAGUGAUAUCUGCCUUUAGAAAGCAUAUAGGUAAUUUGUUAUUCUAGGAAAGAGACUAUAGAAAUUCCAAUCGCCAUCUGUUGGUCACUUGGGUGCAACAACACUCAUCGCAAUAAAAUAAAAAUAAUUUAAUAUGAUGAUGUAGUUUCUAAUGUGGAUUUGAACAAAAUAAAUACAUUUUGGCUCAGUAACUUUUAUUUACAUAGGUACACUGAUAAAUAAAAUUAUUUUAACUAGCUACUGGAUCAAUAUAUUAUAAAUGUAAUUAUUAUUUCAAAGUAAGUUGUCAUACGGUACAGUUGAUUUUGAUGUUUAUUGAUACACUUAGUAGUUCAUAUCAUAGCAUCAUGAUGCGUCAUCAAUUCAUCAUCAAAUACGUAGGUGGCCUAAUGCUAAUUAUAAUAGCUAAUUAUAAGUACAUCGCGUCUGCGUCAUUUGCACGAAUUAUAUUAUUUAUAGAGUACUAGAUAGUUAAUUAAAAUGUACAUACAUGGCGCUUUUAUGAGAUAUUUCACCUAUGAGUUAUGAUUAUUAUUAAUAAGCACACUAUACAGAAUUCUUGAAUCAGAAUAUAGGCUAAGAAUUUUGUAAGAAAAAAAAUAAUAAAUUUAGAAAUACCAUUGUGAUCUUAAUCAUACCUACUUAUAACAAUAAUAAACAAUAUAAAAUAAUUUAACAUGAUUGUGUUGAUGUAGUUUCUAAUGUGGAUUUGUAUAAAAUAAAAUAAAUUUGUCUUGGCA
Plutella xylostella (diamondback moth) is the source of this 2148-nucleotide non-coding RNA. The record is from RefSeq and is a predicted model, not a curated record. NCBI's taxonomy places the organism in Eukaryota, Metazoa, Arthropoda, Insecta, Lepidoptera, Plutellidae.